This 483-nucleotide ribosomal RNA is filed under the name uncultured bacterium. RNAcentral describes it as "partial 16S ribosomal RNA". It matches the Rfam family "Bacterial small subunit ribosomal RNA", at positions 30 to 507 of the family's 1533-position model. The record is from RNAcentral.
UUGCACGCUGGCGGCAUGCCUUACACAUGCAAGUCGAACGGCAGCACGGACUUCGGUCUGGUGGCGAGUGGCGAACGGGUGAGUAAUGUAUCGGAACGUACCUUUCAGUGGGGGAUAACGUAGCGAAAGUUACGCUAAUACCGCAUAUUCUGUGAGCAGGAAAGCAGGGGAUCGAAAGACCUUGCGCUGAUUGAGCGGCCGAUAUCAGAUUAGCUAGUUGGUGGGGUAAAGGCCUACCAAGGCGACGAUCUGUAGCGGGUCUGAGAGGAUGAUCCGCCACACUGGAACUGAGACACGGUCCAGACUCCUACGGGAGGCAGCAGUGGGGAAUUUUGGACAAUGGGGGCAACCCUGAUCCAGCCAUGCCGCGUGAGUGAAGAAGGCCUUCGGGUUGUAAAGCUCUUUCGGCCGGGAAGAAAUCGCAUAGGCUAAUACCCUGUGUGGAUGACGGUACCGGAAGAAGAAGCACCGGCUAACUACGUG